AUGAUUAGUAAGAUUCUUAAGCACUUCCGUAUUAGUGUGUCAAAUCUUCUAUACAUUUCACCUGGUCAAACUCAAGAGUUCAACAAGACUACAAUGACAAACAUGUGGCAUAAGUGGGAUAAGGAACAAAAUGCUUACUACUUCUCUAUGAAGGGGUCCCAAAGACGCAUGUAUAACUUUAAUGAUCUAAUUGAACUUGAUUUGGUACAUGUUUAA
Molecule: non-coding RNA, 216 nt
Organism: Vicia faba (fava bean)
Lineage: Eukaryota; Viridiplantae; Streptophyta; Magnoliopsida; Fabales; Fabaceae
Source: the annotation of a GenBank genome assembly